AAAGGAAGUGGAGAACGUUCUUGCAAGAUGAUCUGUAUUUUCUCUCUAAAGCAGAGUUCAUUUGCUGAGAAUGAUGGAGAAAAUCAGCAUCUAGCUAAUCAGCUGACCAUGAGAUGCAGAGAUUAUCUGGAAUUAUCCAGAUUGGUCCAUUUAAUUACAUGAGUCCUUAAAAGUGGAAAGUGGAAGAAGAGGCAGAAGAGUGUGUCAGAGAGAUGCUGUGUGAAAAGGACUCAACCUGCCACUUGAGGCUUUGAGGCUGGAGAAAGGGGCCAUGAACCAAGGAUUGUGAGCAGCCUGUAAAAUCUGGAAAAGACAAGGCAAUACCCUUUGCUGUCUCAGGGUCAAACAUGCAACUCCUGCCUGCUUGUAUGGCCAGCUGGGUUCAAGAAGGAAGGAACCUCAUUGUUGACAGUUACCAGAUGAAUGUGCCCCUUCUGUACAGCUAAGAAAUGGAAUAGACAUUGGUAACCUUCCACAGGCCCACACAUGUGUUAUCAGCCAUACCUUAGGACAGAAGGAAUGAGUUUGCAGAAAGGAUGCUCUUCAGAACUCAUGAAGACAUAAGGUGCUUCAAAAGAGGAGACUUUCGGAACAUGAGCAGGGAAAUUGUCACUUGAUAGAUGACAAGCAUUGUGAGAAACAACAGUUUGCCUUUCUUCAUUCCCUUCCUGGUUAUCUUUCCUGUCACAUGAAGAAGAAAUGAAACACCAGAGAGAAUCAGGUUAUCAUCAUCUACACCAGCCACUGUCACUGCCCUACAACCAUACUGAGAAUUUAGCCCUGGGGACAUCUUCCGAUAUAAUCUGGCAUAGAAGAGUGGUUAUCACACCUUUAGCAUGGAUAGAAAUGCAAAACAAUAUUUGUAAUAGUCUGUGCUCACGCUGCUAUAAGGACAUACCCAAGACUAGGAAAGAGCCACAGAUUUGCUUCUUCCUAGCAAGGGCGUGAUACUAAUUCCAGAUCCAUCCAAAUAUUGUUCACUGCUUCUUAGACAGAGACCCCUUUCUCCCAGGACCCUUGAGACACCUUUGCUGUGAAUAAUGGAGAAGCAAAAGGAGUUACUAAUGAAGACAAACUAAACCUGAGAACAGAGAGAGCCUAACUAUGUGCUCCAGAAGUGCCAUGUGUGUCUAAGAUGAAGUUUCGCUCUUCUUGCCCAGGCUGGAGUGCAAUGGCACAAUCUCAGCUCACUGCAACCUCUGCCUCCUGGGUUCAAGCGAUUCUCCUGCCUCAGCCCCCUGAGUAGCUGGGAUUACAGGUUCCUAUAAAGUUCCUGAUAGUUGAAGAAAGUCAGGAGAUCUUAGAAACUGACUUUCAUUUAUAACCUGCUGAUUCACCUAGAUCAGGUUACUGGGAAGAAAUCCAAGUCAGACCUCCUGACCUACUCGAAACAGCAUGAGGGCAUACUUAAGUCUGUUCCUUAGGAAAAUGAUGAGGGGGAGACACUCUCUAAGCUUGUGAGGACUGGUGGAUUGAUGAAGAGCAAACACACUGGUCAAUGUAUCCAGCAUCUAGUACUUUGGAGCUGCCACCCAUUUCAGAUGCUUCUUGGGACCAGGAGCCAUGGCUGCGCUCGGCACGGAAACAGCCAAACAUUAACUCAAAAUGGAUAAAAGAUUUAAAUGUAACACCUCAAACUGUAAAAUUCUAGAAGACAAAUUAGGAAAUACCCUUCUUGAUAUUGGCCUUGGCAAAGAAUUUUUGGCUAAGUCCCCAAAAGCAGUUGUAACAAAAACACAAAUAGACAUGUGGGACCUAACUAAACUAAGAAGCUUCUGCACAGAAAAAAAAGACACUAUCGACAGAGUAAACAGACAACCUGCAGAACAAGAGAAGACAUUUGCAAACUAUGCAUCCAACAAAGGCUUAAUAACCAGAAUCUAUAGGUAACUUAAACAAAUCAGCAAAUAAUUUCUAGUUUCUACUGGCACAGGAAAUACCGAAAGUUACCACACCAAUGCACAUUAUUAUGCAAUAUCAUAAUACCAGUGAUAGAGAGAGGAUUCACUAACUUCUAGAGAGAAAAACACUUCAUAGGAAGGAGCAAUCAGAAUAACAUCAUAUUUUUCCACAGCAACAUUUGGUACUACAAGAUAAUGAAAGAUCUGAUAGAAUAUUUGUUAACAUUUGUAAAUAGAAGAAAUUAUAUAAGUGAAAAAACUAAGACAAUAAUUAACUCUAGAGAAAACAAUGAGGUUUCAAAAAACAGGAAAUGCAACAUAUUACACUGCUUUCUUAUUUAGCAAACAAUAUUUAUAUAUUCACUGUAAUGAAACUACAUCAUCAACUAAUAAUUAUGAUAAAGUACAUACAAUAUAAGAUAUACUAUGUAUUUGAAGAUAAGAGUUGGCAUGAACGAGUUUACCUUCUUUUUCAAAAUAAUAAAUUUACUAUAUAUUUAUAAUUAAUAAAUCAAGGGAAAGAAAUACAGCCAUGUUACUUAGGUUUUGAAAAGUGAAGAAAUUAUGGCUAAUGCCGGAAGAUACAACUAAAAGUAUUAAUACUCCUUCUAAGCAAUUUAGAGAAGAGCAAUGCAGAGGACACUGAUUUCAAAAGAAUCCUCUGAUACUAUUAAUAAUUAUGUGCAUGAAUUAUUUGAUUAAAAAUUAAGACAUUAUAUAAUUCAAUAUAAUAUUUAAAAUAAUGACUCUGUGUCCUGUGUCCUAGGGGCAGACUUAAAUCCUCUUUGGGGAAAGAAACGAUCAGAGGGCUGCCUCCUUUAAUUUUAUCCAAACCAACUUAUUUAAGUUUCCCUAACUGCCAUCUUUUGAUCCAGGAAUUUACUUUUCUUUCAAAGCAGAGCAACUAAAAGAUGAGGCAACAUGUACCCCCAUAUUCAUUUUAUUUAUGCAAAUCCUAAACAUACCAAUGAAAGGAAAAACAGGCACAUGCACACCCACGAUAUUCCCAAGCAUGCAUUUUGUUGUUCAUUUUUAUUCACCACCCACCUGCCAUCUCCUCUACUCAAUAUCCCUUCUAUAUUUUAAUCUAGUUUUUUUCUUGAGGUGCUAUUAGCCAAACCAUAUGCUGUUCCACUGCUAAUUGCUUUCCCUCUCUGUGUGAACAGAGCCCUGUGUCCAGCACGGUCAGGGAUUAUAGCUCAACAGCUAAUUUUGCCUCCGGUCUACUUGAUCCCCUUACAGCUGUGUUCUUGGCUUACUUUGCUUUGGUGUUCAAAAAAUUACAGGUAUCAUAAUAUUUAUUCUCUCUUAUCUUACCUGCAUAUUCAUAUAUAUUACUGACCAAGACAUGUUCUUCUGAUUUAGUACAUUUUACUGCUAUUAAAAUACAAAUCCAAAUAUUCCUAAUCACAUUGUUAUAACUUUACAUAAUAUCUAACCAAGAACCAAGCAUAUUUUAUGUUGACCAAUAUUGUGCAUCAGAAAGUAGUAUGAAAGAGGAAUAAUAAUCAUCAUCACAAUAUUAUUAGAUAUCAUUUACAUGUUUUGAAUGUUUUCUGUGGGUCAAGUUCUGUGUUAAGUAAUUCAGAUGCAUUAUCACAACAGCCGUGUAAUGUAGGUACUAUUAUUAUCUUAUAGGUCAGAAAACUGAAACUUAGGGAUAUUAAAUAACUUCCAAAGUUCACAAAUCAAGUCAGAGAUAAAACCAGGAGGCAUAAGUUCCUACUGGAUCAUAAAAAUGGAAUUCCAUCUUGCCUGUGAGGAAUAAAAGGUUUGGGAAAGAGUCUUGAAAGAGAUAAUUCCUGAAUUAAGUCUUGAAAAAAAUACAGGAGCAAACACAUGAAGAAGUAAGAGAGUAUGUCAUCUUAGUGAAGCCAAAAAGAGAUCAGUAUGAUGAAAUUACACACCAUGAUGAUCUUUAUUAAAACAUAGCCACACUUAUUUGUUAUGCAUUAUCUAUGGCUGCUUUAGCACUACAAUGUUGAAAUUUAGUAAUUUCAGCAAAGUUCAUUUGGCUUACAAAACAAAGUAUUUGCUAUCUGAUCCUUUAUGGAAAGGCUCGCUAACCUCUAUUUUAGAGAGUCAAUUAAGUCUUAGAGCAAUUAAAAAUAAGAAAGAUAACCUAAAUAGUUUUAUUUUUACUUUCAUUUAUUUAAUUUCCAGCACUCCUUAUUUCUUUGUGUAGUUGUAAGUUUUUGUUGAGUACCAUAUUUCUACUGCCUGAAUAUCUUUUAAGAUUUCUUACAUAACAGCAGGUCUUAGGCCAGGUGUGGUGGCUCACACCUGUAAUCCUAGCAAUUUGGGAGGAUGAGGCGGGUAGAUCACUUGAGGUAAGGAGUUUAAGACCAGCCAGGCCAGUAUGGUGAAACCCCAUCUCUACCAAAAAUACAAAAAUUAGCAGGUGUGGUGACAGGCACCUGUAAUCCCAGCUACUAGGGAGGCUGAGACAGGAGAAAUGCCUGAACCCAGGAAGUGGAGGUUGCAGUGAGCCAAGAUCGCACCACUGUACUCCAGCCUGGGCAACAGAGUGAGACUCUGUCGCGGAAAAAAAAAAAAAGCAGAUCUUAUAGAGAAAUCACUAUUUUCCUGUCAGUGAUGACCUUGGUUACCAAAAUAAGUACAAUCUCACUUAAAUGGCAAAACUCAAGCUACCUCUUGUUUGCUUCUGUUCUUAUAACAUGGCUCUCCAAUGUUUUCUCACAGUUUUUUUUUUAACUUUUAUUGAAAAAUAUUUAAACUGGCAGGAGAAUCUGGCAAUGAUACAAUAAACUCCCAUGUAUACACACCUAAAGUGACCACACUUUCUUUCCUGCACACACAUAACAAAAACACACACAUACAUUUCAUGUCAACUAAAGCAUUUUAGAGUCUUUGACAUCACGACUUUUAACCCUCAAAUACUUCAGUGUACAUUUUCUAAGAAAAAGGACAUCUGAUUACCUAAAGCAUGGCACAACUAUUAAUUUCAAAAAUUUAAACAUUAACACAAGAUUAUUUCUUCCUUUGUUUUAGUGUUGUCCUUGCAGCAUAUUUUUUUCUGAUUGAUGAUUUUCUGUUUUUUUCUGAUGAUGCAGAAUCAUGCAUGUAUUUACUUGUUAUACGUCUUUUUUUAAUUUAUUAUCUCUAAUAAUUUUAUUGUUAUUAUUAUACUUUAAGUUUUAGGGUACAUGUGCACAAUGUGCAGGGUAGUUACAUAUGUAUACAUGUGCCAUGCUGGUGCACUGCACCCACUAACUCGUCAUCUAGCAUUAGGUAUAUCUCCCAAUGCUAUCCCUCCCCCCCCCAAACCCCAAAGCAGUCCCCAGAGUGUGAUAUUCCCCUUCCUGUGUCCAUGUGUUCUCAUUGUUCAAUUCCGACCUAUGAGUGAGAAUAUGUGGUGUUUGGUUUUAUGUUCUUGCAAUAGUUUGCUGAGAAUGAUGAUUUCCAAUUUCAUCCACGUCCCUACAAAGGACAUGAAAUCAUCAUUUUUUAUGGCUGCAUAGUAUUCCAUGGUGUAUAUGUGCCACAUUUUCUUAAUCCAG
This is a long non-coding RNA of Homo sapiens (human), 5422 nucleotides long. Lineage: Eukaryota; Metazoa; Chordata; Mammalia; Primates; Hominidae. The record is from Ensembl.